Symphalangus syndactylus (siamang) is the source of this 2945-nucleotide long non-coding RNA. RefSeq lists it as uncharacterized. NCBI's taxonomy places the organism in Eukaryota, Metazoa, Chordata, Mammalia, Primates, Hylobatidae. The record is from RefSeq and is a predicted model, not a curated record.
GCUGGGGACGCGGGCCAGGAGUUGCGGACUCCGAGGCUCGGGCCUCGCUGGCGGGUGGGAGGAGCGGCGCCGGGGCGAGGCUGGCGGAGAUCCAGGGGGUCGCCCGGCUGUACCCUGCGCACCUCGGAUCACCAGCUAAGGGCGCUGGUUCCCACCGAGGCUGUUCAGGCGCCGCUCGCCCGCGUCCCUGCGACAGGAGGCGCCUGCUGGGCGCGCUCCGGGCCGCGCCUCGCGGAGACGCCUGGCUCGGGCCUUGUCCCCAGUGGGCGGCUGGAGCGGGCGCGGGGUCGCAGAGCCUCCGGAACCCCGAGGAAGGGCGCCCCUGAGAGUUGCCCGAGGCCGUCCCCUCGCCGCUCGCCUCGCCCCUCCCCGGCCCCGCACCGCCCUCCACCCCGCCUCCCUCGGGUUCCUUCUGCGUCCGGCAGAGCCUGCGCGCCUCCCCCGGACGGCCACGGACUCGCAGCCUCGGUGAGGACGCUGCCUGCGUCCCGGCUGCCUGGACCUCCCCGCGUGGCUCCCGGCGAAGCCCAGCAGCCGGAGGGUGCUGGGUCCGCCUGACGCGCCCCUCCCCACGGGAAGAACGGGGCGGGGGUCCAGGAGGGACGUGAGCCGGGCUCCCCCGGCGUGUUGAUGCGAACCCGCGCGAGGAAACUUGCGCAAACCAAAGGAGGGAAGAGUCAGGCAGCCCCCCAGCCCUCCAGCUCCACAGCCAGACUCCCUUGCUGCAGACGUACCUGGGUGGAGCAUCCCUUGCCUCACCAUCGAUCCCAAGAAAGCUGAAGCUCCAUGUGAAAAUUUCCGGAAGAAAUGUUCUGGACUGAUCACCCUGGCGUUCGCUUCUUUCCUUGGAGUCCCAGCCAAUUCCAUCUCGGGCCUGUUUGGGGAAGUCUUUUGAGGUGACUCCCUUGCUGCCACUUUUGGGGCAACUCUGGCUUCCUCAUAUUUGGCCAGAUAGAACAGUUCCAAUUUUUUCCAGGGAAAAAAUCUCAACUACAAAGACACUUUCAAGGUGCUGCAUUUCCAACAGCACUCUCCGUAUCCGUGUGGACGGCCCAGAGCAAUGGUGCCUCCAAUCCACAGAGCCCCUCCACAGGUCCCUUGCCAUCUGCAGACACCCACAUCUCAAGCCAAAUCAAGAGAGACUGGAGGCUUGUGCCACAAUUGGGCAUCUCUGAGGGUGAGAUCUUGGCAGACGCUUCCUACCCUUCAAGUGUCCUGUGGGCAGCCCGCCUGGCUAGCUGGGUGUGGGAGGUUCCCCCGGUUCAGGCCCUGCAUGCUGCACCUCCCCAGGCUCACUCCAGGCCUCUGGACUGUUUUCCUCAAGCAGGAUUCCCAGCCUCCAAACCUGAGCUAAUCUCCCUGCUGGAACGAGGGGAGGCGCCCUGGAUCCUCACCCAGCCAGAAACGGGGGAGAGUGCUUCCAAGGGACCCUAGCAGAGGUGGGUGAGUGUGAACAGGGUGGCCACAGCCCCACUGCCAUAGGCCAGGCCACAACUUGGAGUGGGCCUGGGAGCUCAGAAGGUUCAGAGAACUAGGAGCCAGGAGUCUCCAAGAGCCACAGCGCCCACCUCACGGAGGGCCGGGGCAGACAGCUGGCCCCACCUGGGCACCAUGCCAUACAGAGACCCACGAGUGCCAGAGCAGCCAUGGGACUGGGGUUUUGGGAACAGCGGUGGUGGCUGCUGUGCACACACAGAGGAGGACUGGCACGGAGGCCCUGGAGAUGGAGGCUCUGCUGUGCGUUGGGGAUGGCCAUGCAGACAUCACACCAGGGAUGUCCGGGAGAGGGAGCCUCAGGAAGCAGUGCCACACGGGCUGGUUAUGAGUCAACAGUGACGGUUCUGGCUUGAGGACCCGGUGACAUGGGCUGGCAGAGGGUAUCUACUGCCGUGACCUUGGAGGGUCUUCUCUGUGCCUGCUGUGCAGGGCACCAGGGGUCCUGAGGGGAGACGGUCGGUCAGGGAGGAGCAGCCUGAAUGCCAGCGAUUGGCUUUGCCCUGGUGCAGGGACUGUGGUCAUUCCAGGUGAGGGUGAGGAGAGGUGAGGCCAGGCGAGGCUGGGUUUCCAGGCCCUUCCGCAGCACACGGCCGUUUGAAGUGCAUCUCAGGAGGCAAGGGAUCCUUCCCUGGGUUCAAGCAGGAGAAACCUGGGGUUCGAUUCGCAGCUGCUAGGACCUCCAUGUUGUCAUGUUGGUCAUUCGGGGCCUGUUGUUGAACGGGUUCAGCUGCAUUGCUGGUGGGGGCUGCACCAUGGAGGAGAGGGGGAGCUGUCAGUCAACCACCAUUGUAGACUCUGGGGCGCCCGACGGGCGACAGAGAUGGUGUGGUGAGAGGUUGGUGGGACUGCUGAGGUGCCCAGGACCAGAGGGGCUCAGCACAGAGGGGUCCAGGCCGGGUCUGUCCCCCCGGGACAGAGAUGCAGUUUGGGUCUAGGUGGGGGUCUGUCCAUCAGCCUUGAGCUUGUCUUGGGGAUGGCUGAGAUUUGACUGUUGUUUCUUUGCAGUCUUGGGAUUUGGGAGUAGAUUUUGAAUUUGAGCAGGUCUAGAGACAAGAAGUUUUCAAGAGUUUCAGAAAAAGGAGUCAGCCAGGCAUGGUGGCUCGUGCGUAUAAUCCCAGCACUUUGGGAGGCCAAAGAGGGCAAAUGGCUUGAGCUCACGAGUUCUAGAUCAGACAGGGCAGCAUGGCAAGACCCUGUCUCUACAAAAAAUACAAAAAUUAGCCAGGCGUGAUGGCGGGCGCCUGUAGUCCCAGCUACUCAGGAGGCCGAGGCAGGAGAAUCACUUGAACCUGGGAAGCGGAGGUUGCAGUGAGCCAAGAUCACGACACUGCACUCCAGCCUGGGUGAUGGAACCAGACCUUGCCUCAAAAAAAAAAAAAAAAGAAAGAAAGAAAGAAAGAAAGAAAAGAAAGAAAAGAAAGAAAAGAAAGAAAAGAAAGAAAACAAAG